This 468-nucleotide ribosomal RNA is filed under the name uncultured bacterium. RNAcentral describes it as "partial 16S ribosomal RNA". It matches the Rfam family "Bacterial small subunit ribosomal RNA", at positions 28 to 507 of the family's 1533-position model. The record is from RNAcentral.
GACGAACGCUGGCGGCGUGCUUAACACAUGCAAGUCGAACGGAAAGGCCCUGCUUUUGUGGGGUGCUCGAGUGGCGAACGGGUGAGUAACACGUGAGUAACCUGCCCUUGACUUUGGGAUAACUUCAGGAAACUGGGGCUAAUACCGGAUAGGAGCUCCCGCUGCAUGGUGGGGGUUGGAAAGUUUCGGCGGGUGGGGAUGGACUCGCGGCUUAUCAGCUUGUUGGUGGGGUAGUGGCUUACCCAGGCUUUGACGGGUAGCCGGCCUGAGAGGGUGACCGGCCACAUUGGGACUGCGAUACGGCCCAGACUCCUACGGGAGGCAGCAGUGGGGAAUAUUGCACAAUGGGCGGAAGCCUGAUGCAGCAACGCCGCGUGCGGGAUGACGGCUUUCGGGUUGCAAACCGCUUUCGCCUGUGACGAAGCGUGAGUGACGGUAAUGGGUAAAGAAGCACCGGCUAACUACGUG